This 266-nucleotide ribosomal RNA is filed under the name Arenicellales bacterium. RNAcentral's name for it is "partial 16S ribosomal RNA". It matches the Rfam family "Bacterial small subunit ribosomal RNA", at positions 1272 to 1533 of the family's 1533-position model. Lineage: Bacteria; Pseudomonadati; Pseudomonadota; Gammaproteobacteria; Arenicellales. The record is from RNAcentral.
UCCCACAAAGCCGGUCUCAGUUCGGAUUGGAGUCUGCAACUCGACUCCAUGAAGGCGGAGUCGCUAGUAAUCCCGGAUCAGCAACGCCGGGGUGAAUACGUUCCCGGGCCUUGUACACACCGCCCGUCACACCACGAAAGUCGGCAACACCCGAAGUCAGUGGCCUAACUCUUUUAGAGAAGGAGCUGCCGAAGGUGGGGUUGGUGAUUGGGGUGAAGUCGUAACAAGGUAGCCGUACCGGAAGGUGCGGCUGGAUCACCUCCUUU